UGCCAGAGCCGCUGUCUGUCGCCAUGCC
Molecule: small RNA, 28 nt
Filed under: Bombyx mori (domestic silkworm)
Lineage: Eukaryota; Metazoa; Arthropoda; Insecta; Lepidoptera; Bombycidae
Description: ovarian small RNA-33674
Source: RNAcentral